RNAcentral lists this ribosomal RNA (458 nucleotides) under uncultured bacterium. RNAcentral describes it as "partial 16S ribosomal RNA". It matches the Rfam family "Bacterial small subunit ribosomal RNA", at positions 338 to 795 of the family's 1533-position model. The record is from RNAcentral.
CCUACGGGUGGCUGCAGUGAGGAAUAUUGGUCAAUGGGCGAGAGCCUGAACCAGCCAAGUCGCGUGAGGGAGUACUGCCCUAUGGGUUGUAAACCUCUUUUGUCGGGGAGCAAAAGCCGGACGUGUCCGGCUGUGAGAGUACCCGAAGAAAAAGCAUCGGCUAACUCCGUGCCAGCAGCCGCGGUAAUACGGAGGAUGCGAGCGUUAUCCGGAUUGAUUGGGUUUAAAGGGUGCGCAGGCGGAUUUUUAAGUCAGCGGUCAAAUCGUGGGGCUCAACCCCAUCCAGCCGUUGAAACUGGGGAGCUAGAGUGCGCGAAGGGUAGGCGGAAUGCGUGGUGUAGCGGUGAAAUGCAUAGAUAGCACGCAGAACUCCGAUCGCGAAGGCAGCCUACCGGCGCGCAACUGACGCUCAUGCACGAAAGCGUGGGUAUCGAACAGGAUUAGAUACCCCAGUAGUC